UGGUGGAGUGAUUUGUCUGCUUAAUUGCGAUAACGAACGAGACCUUAACCUGCUAAAUAGCCAGGCUCGCUUUGGCGGGUCGCCGGCUUCUUAGAGGGACUAUCGGCUCAAGCCGAUGGAAGUUUGAGGCAAUAACA
RNAcentral lists this ribosomal RNA (137 nucleotides) under uncultured eukaryote. RNAcentral describes it as "partial 18S ribosomal RNA". It matches the Rfam family "Eukaryotic small subunit ribosomal RNA", at positions 1299 to 1458 of the family's 1831-position model. The record is from RNAcentral.